GACGAACGCUGGCGGCGUGCCUAAUACAUGCAAGUAGAACGCUGAAGAGAGGAGCUUGCUCUUCUUGGAUGAGUUGCGAACGGGUGAGUAACGCGUAGGUAACCAGCCUUGUAGCGGGGGAUAACUAUUGGAAACGAUAGCUAAUACCGCAUAACAAUGGAUGACACAUGUCAUUUAUUUGAAAGGGGCAAUUGCUCCACUACAAGAUGGACCUGCGUUGUAUUAGCUAGUAGGUGAGGUAACGGCUCACCUAGGCGACGAUACAUAGCCGACCUGAGAGGGUGAUCGGCCACACUGGGACUGAGACACGGCCCAGACUCCUACGGGAGGCAGCAGUAGGGAAUCUUCGGCAAUAGGGGCAACCCUGACCGAGCAACGCCGCGUGAGUGAAGAAGGUUUUCGGAUCGUAAAGCUCUGUUGUAAGUCAAGAACGAGUGUGAGAGUGGAAAGUUCACACUGUGACGGUAGCUUACCAGAAAGGGACGGCUAACUACGUG
RNAcentral lists this ribosomal RNA (497 nucleotides) under uncultured bacterium. RNAcentral's name for it is "partial 16S ribosomal RNA". It matches the Rfam family "Bacterial small subunit ribosomal RNA", at positions 28 to 507 of the family's 1533-position model. The record is from RNAcentral.